This is a non-coding RNA of Cinara cedri, 751 nucleotides long. The record is from the annotation of a GenBank genome assembly. NCBI's taxonomy places the organism in Eukaryota, Metazoa, Arthropoda, Insecta, Hemiptera, Aphididae.
UCAAUAUUAGUUAUUAGUAUAUACAUUUUUGAGAUAUUUUAAUGAGUUACGUAAUAUUAUUAAUACGCGUAUGUAUAUUAUAUAAAAUGUAAUAUUUUAUAGGUACUUAUUUUUCAUAAAGUGUAUAAAAUUAUUAUUCCUACUUUGAAUGCGAAAAAAACAAAUUUGUAAAUAAGUACCUAAUAUUAUAUUAUAUAUUAGGCUUAAACAUAGUAUUAUUAUUAAAUUAGUUUUAAUAGAUAAUUAGAUUUAUAAUUCUGGGGCAACAAUAAUCUCACUUAAAUAUAUUUACAUGAGAUGAAAUUAUUAAAGUGCAAAGAAAAAAUAAAUAAAUGUAAACCAUAAAAAGUAGUCCAUUAAAAUAAUAUAAGAGUGAUAGCGUAUAAUUUAUUUAUUAAUAAAAAUCUUAACCGAAUCUGUUGCAGUAAUACUUCAUCUAAUAUUAUAUCUAUUAUAAUAUAAUAAUAUAUAUAUAUGGUACCAACAUGACUACAGAGAUUAAAAAUAAUAUAAUAAUUUACCUAUCUUAUAAUAAUUAUAAUUCAAACUAAAUAAAAAUCAAAAAUGCAUAGAAUAAACAUAGAAGUCGAAAUAAACUUAAGUGUAUAUACCAAUCUAUAUAGUAUAUAAAAGAUAUAGGCAUUAUGUAUUAUCAUCUAUAAACUAUAAAUUCAAAUCACACAAUUAAAAAAUGAAAAAAAUAGAAUGAAAAAAAAUCAUGAAGGGGAAUAAUAAAUUUAGCACCAAAAAA